Molecule: transfer RNA, 72 nt
Filed under: Capra hircus (goat)
Lineage: Eukaryota; Metazoa; Chordata; Mammalia; Artiodactyla; Bovidae
Also listed under: 1 other name
Rfam family: tRNA
About the family: Transfer RNA (tRNA) molecules are approximately 80 nucleotides in length.
Source: Rfam by way of RNAcentral
UCCCUGGUGGUUCAGCUGGUAAAGAAUCUGCCUGCAAUGCAGGAGACCUGGGUUCGAUCCCUGGCUUGGGAA